RNAcentral lists this ribosomal RNA (325 nucleotides) under uncultured eukaryote. RNAcentral's name for it is "partial 18S ribosomal RNA". It matches the Rfam family "Eukaryotic small subunit ribosomal RNA", at positions 1470 to 1796 of the family's 1831-position model. The record is from RNAcentral.
CCCUUAGAUGUUCUGGGCCGCACGCGCGCUACACUGAUGCAUUCAACGAGCCUAUCCUUGACCGACAGGUCCGGGUAAUCUUUGAAUCUGCAUCGUGACGGGGAUAGAUUAUUGCAAUUAUUAAUCUUCAACGAGGAAUGCCUAGUAGGCGCAAGUCAUCAGCUUGCGUCGAUUUCGUCCCUGCCCUUUGUACACACCGCCCGUCGCUCCUACCGAUUGGGUGUGCUGGUGAAAUGUUCGGAUCGGCCGUUUGUCGCGGUUUCCGCGUCAUGUGGCUGAGAAGUUCAUUAAACCCUCCCACCUAGAGGAAGGAGAAGUCGUAACA